RNAcentral lists this long non-coding RNA (778 nucleotides) under Ananas comosus (pineapple). RNAcentral describes it as "long non-coding RNA (ACOM_LNC008330)". Lineage: Eukaryota; Viridiplantae; Streptophyta; Magnoliopsida; Poales; Bromeliaceae. The record is from RNAcentral.
CCUCUGCCCCACAUAGGGUAUGUUUGUUUCAACGUAAGUAGACUUGGGGUGGAAGUGGACUUUGAGUUGAAGUGGAGUUGGGGUGAAAAUUAGUUUACUUCUGCUGUUUGUUUCUAACUGUGGAAGUGCAGUUCUGCGAGUUCUGUUGUUUGUUUGGUAGGAAGUAGAUGACGUAAAAAGUGUAGCUCUCCACCCCCGGUAUACUUACCCCCAAAGUGAUAUCAUUGUCUAUUUUGUAACUUAUAGUGAAUAAUAUAUUAUAAUAAAUAAAAAUUAAUAUAAUUAUAUAUGUAUAUAAUUAUAUAUAUGUAUAAUUAUAAAAUAAAAUUUUUAAAAAAUAUAUUAUUUGUUUGCAUAUAAAUUAUAAUAAUGCAACAAAUAAAAUUCUAAAGUUAAAAAAUUAUUAACAUUUAACAAAUUCAUUUUUCAUCAUUUUCUAAAUAUACAAAUUAAACAAAAAAUAUAUUAAAGUUUACCUAAUCAAAUUUGAUCAUAUUCUAGAAGAGAUAAUCCUAACACAUCAAUCCAUUCUUGUAUUUUUUUUCACUUCACCGGAAUUGACUUCGCCCCAUGGGAGGGCGAAGUCAAGUUCACUAGUUUAGGUGAACUGGACUUUCGGGCGUAAUAAAAUUACGGUGAACCAAACAGUAGAAGUGGUCAGUUUUCACCGAAAAUCACUUCCCCCGUCCCACUUCCACCCCACUUCCCUCGAAACAAACAGGCCCUAGCUGAUUUAUGUUCCCAUCCUUUUCUUAAGACCAAAAAAUCUAACUAUUUA